RNAcentral lists this ribosomal RNA (252 nucleotides) under uncultured bacterium. RNAcentral describes it as "partial 16S ribosomal RNA". It matches the Rfam family "Bacterial small subunit ribosomal RNA", at positions 524 to 776 of the family's 1533-position model. The record is from RNAcentral.
UACAGAGGGUGCGAGCGUUAAUCGGAAUUACUGGGCGUAAAGGGCGCGUAGGCGGUGAGAUGAGUGUGGUGUGAAAGCCCUGGGCUUAACCUGGGAAGUGCAUCGCAAACGAUCUGACUGGAGUAUAAGAGAGGGUGGCGGAAUUUCCGGUGUAGCGGUGAAAUGCGUAGAGAUCGGAAGGAACGUCAAUGCGAAGGCAGCCACCUGGCUUAAUACUGACGCUGAAGCGCGAAAGCGUGGGGAGCGAACAGG